Camelina sativa (false flax) is the source of this 1176-nucleotide long non-coding RNA. RefSeq lists it as uncharacterized. NCBI's taxonomy places the organism in Eukaryota, Viridiplantae, Streptophyta, Magnoliopsida, Brassicales, Brassicaceae. The record is from RefSeq and is a predicted model, not a curated record.
UUUUUAUUAAUUUUAUUGUAGAUGACUAAAUUCUGUGUUCAAUUAAAAUCAAUUGAACAACACAUGCCCUAAGAAGAUGUGAACUACAUAGAGAAAAUAAAACCAACACGAUUAAACAAAACCCUCCCAGGCACUAUUAUCGAGAAGCGUUAUUUUUUCAAUUCCUCCGACGCUGGUAGAGCUUCAGCUCGCCGGCGUCGGGACCGCUCUUCCAUCUCUCGAAUCCUUUGCAUUUUUUCUCUUUGUUUUCUCUCCUGGUCUUUGCGUGCCCCCAGCUAUCCCAUGUUUCUUGAAUCUUUCUUUCCUCCAACUUUACCCGACGAGCCUGCUUGUGACAGAGCCCGAAGAUGGACCCGGUGAACCAUCUAUCACUUGCCCUGCUCACGCCGUCUUGAAGCUAACAGAAAAGGAAUCUCGCGAAUCCAAAGUUUACCCAAAGCUUAAAUCUGGAAGCUGUCCUAAACCGCCAGCUAGUUCCCCGCCCACGAGAAUCGUCAAUGACUAACCCCACCGGAUUACAAGUCUGCAACGCUUGAGUUGGCAAGGAAGUUGACGGUGGCGGCAAAAACCCUAAUCCAGCUCCAGCUGAUGGUUCCCCUUAGUGGAUUUAGCCCAUUAACCUCCCAGUCUCGGCCCAUUAGUUCAUAUGCUACAAUUCUAAUUUUGCCAAACUGGACCAAUGAAAACAUGAAGAGGAACGACAUUAUGAUCCUGUCUCCAUGAAGCAGUGAUUACCGUACACUCUUCAAUCCUUCAGCUCCGUCUCUUCCCAAACCAAAACCUCUACAAGCAUCUUUUCGCAACAUCAAAGGUAGAUUUUAUGAAAGUAGAGGUGGGAAGAAGAACGACAUAAGGUUGGUUUCAAAUCCAACUCCUCCCUCUUCUCAACUCAGGAAAUUUCUCAUGUGGUAGAAGAUUUGGAGACCAUAAUUUGGGGUUGAGAUGUUAGAGGAGGAGAUGAUGGUGUUUAAGAUACAUCUUGCUUCAAUGCUUCGUUUCUGUUGAGAAUCGUAUAUAUAUUUUAAGGGCUAGUAAGUUUGGCUUAAAAUUAUAAUUGGUUGGGGGAGGAGACUGCAUGUGUUAUCUUCUAUAUAUCUCUUAAUUAGCUCAUUAUUUUUGCCCAUUCUUACUAUCAAGAAACUGAAAAGCAAUAAUUAAGAAAGUUCACUUUUUAUA